Molecule: non-coding RNA, 7096 nt
Organism: Phoenix dactylifera (date palm)
Lineage: Eukaryota; Viridiplantae; Streptophyta; Magnoliopsida; Arecales; Arecaceae
Source: RefSeq, a predicted model, not a curated record
GGCGUGCAUAUAAAUGUAAAUAUAAGGCCCUUUCCCUUGCAUAAACCAGACUUCUUGGACGCCUCCCUCCCUCUCUCUUCGUGCUUUCUUUCUCCUAGAGAGGGGAGGCGAGCAAUCUACCACUCCUCCUCCUCCUCUCUCUAUCUCUCUUCUUCUUCUUCUUCUUCUGCGCCCUCUCCUCCUCAUUCGUCUCCUCCUCCUCUUUUUCUUUUCCUUGCGUAUGUUAAGGCCAUAAGUAUCGGUGGCUCGCGAAGAAAUUGUUCUUCUUCUCCGUUUCUUUGCAUGCCGUCUUCUUCUUCUUCUCUUGCGAUCGGGCGAGGCAGCUAUGGAAGGUCUGCGAUUCCGUAGACAACCGAGCUGCAGCCGUUGUUAGAUGGGGGAGGACAAGAAGACACGGUGGGAUCUUUUCCCUAGGUCGGGUUCUUGUUUUCCUUCUCAAGAUUGUUUGGUCUUCUCUUUCUUCUUCUCCUUCCACUUGUUCUUGGUCUUCCAGGUGGAUAAGGGCCGCGAUGUUGCUUCUUGUUAUCUUUCUCUCUUUCUUCUUUUAUGUUUCUUCUUUCUCGUCGAGAGAGGAGGCGAGCAAUCUACCACUCCUCCUCCUCCUCUCUCCGUCUCUCUUCUUCUUCUUCUUCGCCCUCUCCUCCUCAUCCGUCUCCUCCUCCUCUUUUUCUUUUCCUUGCGUAUGUUAAGGCCAUAAUUAUCGGUGGCUCGCGAAGGGAUUGUUCUUCUUCUCCGUUUCUUUGCAUGCCGUCUUCUUCUUCUUCUCUUGCGAUCGGGCGAGGCAGCUAUGGAAGGUCUGCGAUUCCGUAGACAACCGAGCUGCAGCCAUUGUUAGAUGGGGGAGGACAAGAAGACACGGUGGGAUCUUUUCCCUAGGUCGGGUUCUUGUUUUCCUUCUCAAGAUUGUUUGGUCUUCUCUUUCUUCUUCUCCUUCCACUUGUUCUUGGUCUUCCAGGUGGAUAAGGGCCGCGAUGUUGCUUCUUGUUAUCUUUUUCUGUUUCUUCUUUCUUGCUUUUCUUCUUCUUUGUUUCCCAAAUUGGGAGAGCGGAACUGCUUUUGGGUUCUACAUGAGGAGGCUGUGAUGAUACUGGACGAGGGUUUUUCUAUGUUUCGAGUGGAAAACAACUAGUUCUUGACGGCAAGGCAAUCUUGGAUGGUCUGCUGCUGUUCUUCUGCAGGCAACCGAUUGCAGCCGUUUUGAUUCAUUAGUUGCAGAGCGAAUGGUGAAUCUGAGCCUCCCUCUUCAUCUUCCCCUUCCCUGUUUUCUAAUUCCUGAGCUUUUUUUUUUUCAAAGACUGUUUUUUUAGAGUUUCUUGAAUUUCUUUACCAUGAUUGGUACCAAGCAGCCGAAGAAUUCAUACUUCAUAGCAAACUAGGGUUUCAAGAACCCAAAUCCUCAAAUUUCUAUUUUGUCUGUUGAAAACUAGGGGUUCUGUUGCUUGGCAUAAGGGUUUUUGGUAACAUUCAUGGGAACUAUUUGAGUUACUUCCUUCACAAUAACAAGAGUUUUGGUCUUCUCCACUUUGUUCCGUUCUCCUUCGUCAUUCUUUAUUUUUUUCCUUUUAACUAACAUUAUGACAAGUGAGAACUUGGAAACUCUGCUAUCCUUCAAACCUCGAAGGGAAAUUCUGAAUUGCCAUAUGAAGCUAUCGUUACCAACUGGAGAUGGUUUCUCUACACCACUGCAGGAGGCACAUAAAAAUUUCUCUAGAGCUGGUAAAGUUCCCUGCUUCCCUUGAAUCAUCUGACAUUUUUUCCCAAAUAAUUCUCAAGAUCUCAGUCAAAAAAGUGGACUUUUGCUUGUAACUUGAUAAGGCUAAAUGCUGAAUGAUUUUAAUAAAUCCAUCCAUCGUGUCCAGGUUAGAGCUUGUUGGCUAUGGUUAAAUUAGAUAAUAUAAUCCAUGAUUACUUUUUAAGGUGUAUAGUGCUGCAUAGAUAAGAUACGCUGUGCUAUUGGUUGGGUCAGUUCAGUUUGGGUUGAAGGUCAACCUGAGGUCAAGCUGGAAUUUUUGUGCCCAUGGCCCACUCAAAUUUAUAAAACCUCAACCCAACAUCAACCUCAACCAAACCCUGCUUCAGCCGAGCAUAUUUAGGUGAGAUCCUGGGUUGUUGCAGAUAUCAAACUUUUUCUCUUUCUCAUUGACAAUCGAGUUAGCUUAAAGACUCAGGAACCUAUAGGCCUAGAGUUCCUCCUUUGCAUCUUGACUUUUUGUUGGGUUCUUGUAACGAGAACAGGACAAAGAUCCUCUGGAUUACAUAUAAGUGCUUUUAGUGUAUCCAUUGGUGAUAUAUAUUCUUUUUAAGAUCAUUUGAAAAUCUUACUAAGUGAUCUUAUGCCAUUUGCAUGAGAUGGGAGAGAGUGUCACAAGUUUUCCUCAAAAUGUCGCUUGUUAACUUUUUUCAGUUGCCAAUAUUUUGCCUUUUUUUUAUAUCUGCCAUAUGAUUGUUUAAAACUUUUGCUGUUUGAUUUCCCAUUAAAUAUUGACAUGAAUAUUUGGAGCAAUUAACAUAAGAGAUGUGCAAUGUAGCUUGUGGAGAACAUACAAAGUUUUUGGAGAGAGAAACAUGAGGAUGAGGGUGACAUUUAAGAUAUGAUUUGAGGUUUGACUUAAAGACAGUCAUCGAGAAAAGUUGAUCUCUGACUUGGUCCACUCAUUCUCUAAGACAGCUUAUUUUCAGACCUUCAGAAAAAAGUCCAUUGCGCCUCAUGUGACAGAAGUCUUCCUUUUGUACAGUAAGCACUUGUCCGGAAGGUUUGACCAGACCCCUGAGCUAGGCCUAGGCCCCCUCAUCAAUGGCUUGCUUCUGUCGUUCUUCCUAUCUAGUCAAGUGGUUGAACCUGAUGGUAAUUUUGAUUUGCGUACCCUUGUCUAUCACAUCAUAUCAGGUUUUUAAGAUUUUGGAGUGUUGUUUCAGAGCUUGUUAUGGGAAAUCAUAGUCUCAAGGUUGAAUUACAACAAUGCUUACAAUCUAUAGACAUAUAUUCAGACAUAAAUGGCAAAUCCAAUUCCAGAGUAUUCACCAGGGUAAUAUGUUGUCAACCAUGUUAGACUUGGAAUAUGGGUGUUUAUGAUGGAUCAGUUAAGUGCAUUAAUGGAAUACCCUGCCUGAUAUGCCUUUGGGAGGAUGGCCUAAAAUGGGAGGAUGGCCUAAAAUGCAAGGAUGAGGUUACUUGUGGACCACAUCAGGGCCCGAAAAAAGCAUUUGUAUGACUGAAAUAGAAGGUGAUAUUUCCAAACGAUAUUAAUCUUCAGGAGAUAAGAAGUUACUUAUCUCGUUAUAUUUCAUGCAAAAACCAUGCUUCCUGCAGUAUCUGAUACAAGAUGAGACCAAAGAUCCAUAUAGACAAAAUUAUUCUGGUUCUAGGACCCAUAGCUACACUAUUAGUCAGCGAACAUGAACCCUUCAUUUUAAUUGUUUGAAUUGGAUUUGAGUGUUUUCUGUUGUUACAUGCCGGUGGCAAAAAUGUUGAUGUUGCACUUUGAACUACAAGGUGGCCCGCUUGCCUAUGUGAUUCCCGAUGUAAUUGAAGAAAUUGUGGACUCAGAGCUUGCAGUGGGUACCGAUUACUGUAACUUCAUCCUCAUGUUUGGCAAGCCUGUCGGUGCGGGUUACUCGAGUCAUUAAGUAUAAAAUCUUGGCAUGUAUCAGGAUCUGUGAUCAAUAUGACAAAAGAUUUUCUUGUUGCAGAAAGAUUCUUUUUUCCGUUAUGAGCAAUAUGAUAUGGGGUAAGCAGCUGACUAGAAAAAUGAAUGGUUCUGCGCAUCUGAGUCUCGAAGCAAGGUACCUGUUGCGAAGGGUUUGGUGGACCAGUUUAACCAGAUCAUCAUUUUAACCUGCUAGGCUCAUAGACUGGUCCUUUUGGGAGCUGUUUUGACCAGGUAAGACCAGGGUCCUAUGGGCUAAUUCUGCUGUACAGUAAUCUCCCUUUACUGUUGUCUGCGCAAUUUCGGGAGUCUAGUUAGUGAGAUAUACUAAUAAAGGAUAGUAGAUAACACUUGGAAUACACUUGGAUGUCCUGCAAACAGUGAUGGUUUUGUGAUUGUGCAUGGUUUUUAGGAUAACAAUUUAUUAUUAUUUUUUUGAAACAAUGGUUUUUGAUGAUUUUUUUCCUUUUGUUAUAGAUGCUUUUUAAAUCCUCUGCGAAAUUUUCUGAAAAAAAAUUCUAUUUUAACAUGUCAAAUUCGGAAUGAAGAAAAGAUAGAAUUAUGAUUAUGAGAGCCAUGUGGCUUUAGCUUAAUUUUUAGCCUUUCAACAGUUAAUGUACAUAGAAAUCUUGAUUGUGAUGAGACAUGAAGAUAAUAUUUGUUCAGGCUGAUUAAUGCAGGAAAGUAUUCAGUAAUCCAGGUUCUGUGCCAUCAGCAAAAUGUUGCCUCGUCUAUUAUGUCCAUCUCAUCAGUGCAUAACAAUUGGUUGUCCAGAACUGCUUUUCUUUUCUCUCAUAUUGGUAUCACCUUUCGGGUUAUAUUGACUCUGUCCAUGAAGCUUUCUGUCAGUUGUGCUGUUGAUCCAACUUUGUAUAUUCUUCAAUUUCUAUGAGAAAUGCUUGGAUUCCUUAAUAUUCUUAAAUCAUGUCAGAGAUAUAAAUGACCCAGAACACCCAUAUUCAGUGGAAGAACUGAAAGUGGUCGCAGAAGAUUCAGCUGAAGUUAAUGACAAGCAAAGUUAUGUUAGGCAACUACCUAUCUUCUAAUAAUCUGAACUGUACUUCUGUUGUCUGUUAUUGGACUUUGCCUCUGUGUAAAACUUAUGCGAAGUCUUCCUUCUCGUUACAAGGUAAAGUUAGCCAUUUGGUACAUCCUUAUAAAUCAAACUUGCUGUGGCAGUGUAUUAUCCCAGAAGUAUAACGUCGUGCUUUUUCAGUAUCAGACUAUAUGUUGGUUAAACAUCAAAGCUAACUAUGAACACUUCUUAUUCUUUACAUGCCAAAUGGGUUUUCUAGUUUUUGUGUUAUAUUCUGGACUAGCUGUUUCCAUCAGCUGCAAGUCUAGAAUAUAUUAUGCCCCUUGACGAAAUACUUACAAGGUGAAGAAAGCUACAUGUUUGGUAUAGAAGUUUCAUGUACCAUUUCAUCAUUUUCUACAUUUAAUUUCAUUAAAAGAGCUUAUAUUUGUCAUAGGAGAUUAUUCAGAAAUAAUCUGUCAUAUCAUUUAAAAUUAGUGGAAGUCCAACAUGGAUGAUGGUCCAUGGCUCCUAUUUCCUGGAAGGUCUUCUACUCAGCAGGCUACCGAUCUGUAGUCAAUGUUAGUUGGCGAGGUCAUCACCCGAGGAGAAGAGGAGGGGCAAUAUUUUGAUCUGUUGACCAACAAGUUAAACUUGAACCAGAAAAACGGGAUUGAAAUAAUUUAAAAGUGGAGCCAAAAAUUGACCUAGCUCAAAAUUAAGCUCGAAAUAAUGGUAAACAAAUGAAGCUUGAUCUUAGGGUUCGAGCUCGAAACUACUUUCAAACCCUGCUAGAUAAGAUCCAAGCUCAAACAAUCUCUGCUCAAUUACACCCCUGGUUCUUCGUCUUCCAUUGGAUAAUGGUCAUGCUGUUCGUGCUUCUUUCUCUCCCUUACUUUGUCCUUUUUGUUCAUCUCUGUUGCUUUUGUUCUUCAUCUUUUUUCCCCAAACUGGGAAAGUGGCAUUGCUUUUAGGCUUAUAUGAAGAGGCUGCAAUGAUUCCUGAAUGAGGGUUUUGCUACAGUGUGAAGUGGAAAACUAGUUCGAGCGGCAACGCUUGGUUCUGUUUGGCAGGCAACCUAUUUGCAGCUGGCUUGAUUUAGUUGCAGAGUGUUCCGAACUAACAUAAUGCCGGAUGAAGUGGUAAAUUUCAGCCUCCUCUUCCUCUUCCCCUUUUUUUGAUUUUUGAUUUCUGUUUUGAAUAUACUCCUGUUCCAACCUCAUUUUCUUAGUUUUCCUGACUCUUCUUCUUUACUUCACUUAUUUUUUCCAUGUAACAAGGGUUUUUGUCUUGCAUGGGUUCCUUUUUCCUUCCAUAAUUCUCUAUUUUACCUUCUUUUUUUCAAGUAAUAUUAUGGAAAAAGACAAAGUGGCUUGCUUAGGGGCUGACUAGGGUUGGUGGCAACUUCAAGUUCCUUUCUGCGAGCUUCCCUUGUGUAGGAGUUGCAGAUUCCCUGGUAGAAAUUUCUCUAGGGUUGGUAUUAAAUAGGGCAAUCUGCUUGGACUUUCUUUUGAUGAUGUCCUUAAUCUCGUUUAGAGUUAUCCAGUCAAAUUUAUUCUGCUGCUUUUAUCUGCUUUUAUUUUCUUGAUCUUCCUACUAAUCUUUGCAUAGCUGGUGGUAUUGUUUCACUUGUAAACUUUUAUGCUUCAAAGGCCUGGUAAUACUCUCUAUUGCUGUCAGGUGAUCUAUCAGUAGCUAAUGCAUAAAUUUCUAUACAAUUUUUUUGAAUUCAAUUUUCCACUACAACUAUCCAUGAAAUAAUGUUUCCUUAUAAAUUUAUUACUAUUGUUUAUCGACUAGAAUUAUUACAAAUUAGUUAUUUGCAAUACUUAUUUCUAAUUAUUUGCUACAUAUUCUUCAUGGCUUUUUUGAACAAAAAUAUGAACUUUCUAUUCUUUCAAAUGUAUAAUUUAUACUUAUCCCUAUAUUUUGUAAUAUUGUUUGCCGAUUUGUUGGGAAAACAUGGAAAUAAAAUGUAAAGAUUGUAUGCUUUGCAAGUUGGAAGGUCCAUUGUUCUGCUGGCUACCGCUGCAGCCUGUUGGAGACUGCAUAAGAUUUCUGGUUAAUGGAAUGAGAUAAGCCUUUCCUCCUACACAACUCUGCCAUUUUCUCCAGAAACUUUUGGAAGCAUCAGUUCCAUGAGGAUGAUGAUACCUGUGCGGAAGUCUGCCCCCUCUUCUGAAACAAUAAUUUGCUUAUGUUACAUAUGGCUUCUUAUUGGCAGUAGAGGUAGAAGUUGAUAGGUAUAUGAUUUGUUUCCCCUGUUUUCUCAUCCUUUACAUCUUUACUAUUUUUGUGAUUCUCUUAUUGAGCAGUACAAUCUUCUAAGCAUGGUUAAAAUGGACCUGGCCAUUAUUUGUACAAUUUGAUAAAACAGGUUCAGAGGCUCCUUUUCUACAGAAACCAUAAAUGAAAAUUGGCUAGUCUUUUUAUA